Molecule: ribosomal RNA, 1453 nt
Filed under: Ferdinandcohnia humi
Lineage: Bacteria; Bacillati; Bacillota; Bacilli; Caryophanales; Bacillaceae
Description: Bacillus humi 16S ribosomal RNA
Rfam family: Bacterial small subunit ribosomal RNA
Source: RNAcentral
AGUCGAGCGAACUUUUGGGAGCUUGCUCCCAAAAGUUAGCGGCGGACGGGUGAGUAACACGUGGGCAACCUGCCUAUAAGACUGGGAUAACUUCGGGAAACCGGAGCUAAUACCGGAUAACAUAUGAGACCACAUGGUCUCAUAUUAAAAGAUGGCUUUUAGCUAUCACUUAUAGAUGGGCCCGCGGCGCAUUAGCUAGUUGGUGAGGUAAUGGCUCACCAAGGCGACGAUGCGUAGCCGACCUGAGAGGGUGAUCGGCCACACUGGGACUGAGACACGGCCCAGACUCCUACGGGAGGCAGCAGUAGGGAAUCUUCCGCAAUGGACGAAAGUCUGACGGAGCAACGCCGCGUGAGCGAAGAAGGUCUUCGGAUCGUAAAGCUCUGUUGUUAGGGAAGAACAAGUACCGUUCAAAUAGGGCGGUACCUUGACGGUACCUAACCAGAAAGCCACGGCUAACUACGUGCCAGCAGCCGCGGUAAUACGUAGGUGGCAAGCGUUAUCCGGGAAUUAUUGGGCGUAAAGCGCGCGCAGGCGGUCCUUUAAGUCUGAUGUGAAAGCCCACGGCUCAACCGUGGAGGGUCAUUGGAAACUGGGGGACUUGAGUGCAGAAGAGGAGAGCGGAAUUCCACGUGUAGCGGUGAAAUGCGUAGAGAUGUGGAGGAACACCAUUGGGGAAGGGGCCUUUUGGUUUGUAACGGACUUUGAGCCGAAAAAGCGGGGGGAGCAAACAGAAUUAGAUCCCCCUGGUAGCCCCCCGCCGUAAACAAUGAGUGUUAAUUGUUAGAGUGUUUCCCCCCUUUUAGUGCUGCAGCAAACGCUUUAAGCACUCCGCCUGGGGAGUACGUUCGCAAGAUUAAAACUCAAAGGAAUUGACGGGGGCCCGCCCAAGCGGUGGAGCAUGUGGUUUAAUUGGAAGCAACGCGAAGAACCUUACCAGGUCUUGACAUCCCGUGCCAAUUCUAGGAAUAGGCCUUUCCCCUUCGGGGGACACGGUGACAGGUGGUGCAUGGUUGUCGUCAGCUCGUGUCGUGAGAUGUUGGGUUAAGUCCCGCAACGAGCGCAACCCUUGAUCUUAGUUGCCAGCAUUAAGUUGGGCACUCUAAGGUGACUGCCGGUGACAAACCGGAGGAAGGUGGGGAUGACGUCAAAUCAUCAUGCCCCUUAUGACCUGGGCUACACACGUGCUACAAUGGAUGGUACAAAGGGCAGCUAAACCGCGAGGUUAAGCCAAUCCCAUAAAACCAUUCUCAGUUCGGAUUGCAGGCUGCAACUCGCCUGCAUGAAGCCGGAAUCGCUAGUAAUCGCGGAUCAGCAUGCCGCGGUGAAUACGUUCCCGGGCCUUGUACACACCGCCCGUCACACCACGAGAGUUUGUAACACCCGAAGUCGGUGGGGUAACCGUAAGGAGCCAGCCGCCUAAGGUGGGACAGAUGAUUGGGGGAAGUCGUAA